This 406-nucleotide ribosomal RNA is filed under the name uncultured bacterium. RNAcentral describes it as "partial 16S ribosomal RNA". It matches the Rfam family "Bacterial small subunit ribosomal RNA", at positions 30 to 526 of the family's 1533-position model. The record is from RNAcentral.
AUUGAACGCUGGCGGCAGGCCUAACACAUGCAAGUCGAACGAGUGGCGGACGGGUGAGUAAUGUCUGGGAAACUGCCUGAUGGAGGGGGAUAACUACUGGAAACGGUAGCUAAUACCGCAUACCAUCGGAUGUUCCCAGAGGGGAUUAGCUAGUAGGUGGGGUGAUGGCUCACCUAGGCGACGAUCCCUAGCUGGUCUGAGAGGAUGACAAGCUCACCGGGAACUGUGAAACGGUCCAGAGUCCUACGGGAGGCAGCAGGGGGGAAGAUUGGACAAUGGGACCAAGCCUGAUGCAGCCAUGCAGCGUGUAUGAAUAAGGCCUGCGGGUUGUAAAGUACUUACAGCGUGGAGGCGGUACCCGCAGAAGAAGCACCGGCUAACUCCGUGCCAGCAGCCGCGGUAAUUC